RNAcentral lists this long non-coding RNA (365 nucleotides) under Lathyrus oleraceus (garden pea). RNAcentral describes it as "Pisum sativum (pea) long non-coding RNA (PSAT_LNC016027)". Lineage: Eukaryota; Viridiplantae; Streptophyta; Magnoliopsida; Fabales; Fabaceae. The record is from RNAcentral.
UAUUUUCUCGAUUUAAUAUCGAGCCCAUUUUCCACACCCUUGUAAGUCGAUUGCUUUUUAAGCAUCGCCAUCAACCUCACAUAGCUUACUCUUGGGCUUUCUUACAAUGAGCCGGUUCUCUUGCACUUACACUCCUACUUUUGCAUUAUUUGUUGUUUGGGCCUGAUUUAAUUAUUUCAUUAUUUUGAAUCCCCAUUUGACAAAAUGUACCCCACUCCCCCGAUGUGUAAUAAUUUUGUACUAUUUAGUUCUUUAUUUGUUUGACUGUUUAGUUAGCUACUAAUAUAAGAAUAAAAUCAACAAUUUCAAAAAAAUACAAAAAAUAUGACUCGAUCCAAUGUCGAGUAUUUUCUCAAUAAACAAAU